This is a long non-coding RNA of Myotis davidii, 268 nucleotides long. RefSeq lists it as uncharacterized. The record is from RefSeq and is a predicted model, not a curated record. The transcript has 3 exons. Lineage: Eukaryota; Metazoa; Chordata; Mammalia; Chiroptera; Vespertilionidae.
GGGGAGCUGGUGUCCUGGGCGGGGUUGUUAAUCUCUGCUUGGCUUGUUUGGGGUUUUCCGGGGGGGACCCUUCCCCCACCUGGCUCUACCCUGGGUCUGGAGAGGUCUUUGGGGUGGACAGAUAGACAGACAGCUCUCCUGGACAGAUCACAUUUGUCCCUGGGGUGGCGCUGGCCAUGCUGUGCGCUGCCGCCAGGAACAGACCCUCAGAGGCAGCAGGUGUGUCCCAGGGCCUCCUCUGCGGGCUCGCUGAUGACGCGCAGCUGUG